UGCUUGCAUCAUGAUUUACAUUUGAGUGAGUGGCGAACUGGUGAGUAACACGUGGGAAACCUGCCCAGAAGCGGGGGAUAACACCUGGAAACAGAUGCUAAUACCGCAUAACAACUUGGACCGCAUGGUCCGAGUUUGAAAGAUGGCUUCGGCUAUCACUUUUGGAUGGUCCCGCGGCGUAUUAGCUAGAUGGUGGGGUAACGGCUCACCAUGGCAAUGAUACGUAGCCGACCUGAGAGGGUAAUCGGCCACAUUGGGACUGAGACACGGCCCAAACUCCUACGGGAGGCAGCAGUAGGGAAUCUUCCACAAUGGACGAAAGUCUGAUGGAGCAACGCCGCGUGAGUGAAGAAGGGUUUCGGCUCGUAAAACUCUGUUGUUAAAGAAGAACAUAUCUGAGAGUAACUGUUCAGGUAUUGACGGUAUUUAACCAGAAAGCCACGGCUAACUACGUGCCAGCAGCCGCGGUAAUACGUAGGUGGCAAGCGUUGUCCGGAUUUAUUGGGCGUAAAGCGAGCGCAGGCGGUUUUUUAAGUCUGAUGUGAAAGCCUUCGGCUCAACCGAAGAAGUGCAUCGGAAACUGGGAAACUUGAGUGCAGAAGAGGACAGUGGAACUCCAUGUGUAGCGGUGAAAUGCGUAGAUAUAUGGAAGAACACCAGUGGCGAAGGCGGCUGUCUGGUCUGUAACUGACGCUGAGGCUCGAAAGUAUGGGUAGCAAACAGGAUUAGAUACCCUGGUAGUCCAUACCGUAAACGAUGAAUGCUAAGUGUUGGAGGGUUUCCGCCCUUCAGUGCUGCAGCUAACGCAUUAAGCAUUCCGCCUGGGGAGUACGGCCGCAAGGCUGAAACUCAAAGGAAUUGACGGGGGCCCGCACAAGCGGUGGAGCAUGUGGUUUAAUUCGAAGCUACGCGAAGAACCUUACCAGGUCUUGACAUACUAUGCAAAUCUAAGAGAUUAGACGUUCCCUUCGGGGACAUGGAUACAGGUGGUGCAUGGUUGUCGUCAGCUCGUGUCGUGAGAUGUUGGGUUAAGUCCCGCAACGAGCGCAACCCUUAUUAUCAGUUGCCAGCAUUAAGUUGGGCACUCUGGUGAGACUGCCGGUGACAAACCGGAGGAAGGUGGGGAUGACGUCAAAUCAUCAUGCCCCUUAUGACCUGGGCUACACACGUGCUACAAUGGAUGGUACAACGAGUUGCGAACUCGCGAGAGUA
RNAcentral lists this ribosomal RNA (1212 nucleotides) under Lactiplantibacillus plantarum. RNAcentral describes it as "bacterial SSU rRNA". It matches the Rfam family "Bacterial small subunit ribosomal RNA", at positions 65 to 1265 of the family's 1533-position model. The record is from RNAcentral. Lineage: Bacteria; Bacillati; Bacillota; Bacilli; Lactobacillales; Lactobacillaceae.